UUGUGUUGGUCUUUUGUUGUGUUCGUGUCUCUUUAUUUGGAGUUUUACACUUAAUUUAGCAGACUUUUUUCUAGAGUGUUGGGUUCAGUGCUCGCUUGUUACGGGUUUCCUUUUUCUAGAAUGCGUUUGGAAAGGUUGAUUGGCAAGACUUUAUUCUCAUGGUAUUUGGGUAGAGCUUCUAUCGAUGGUAAGUGGACGUUAUGAGUGUGUUGCAUCUGUAUCCGAAGGUAGUGGACCGAGUGAUGGUCCCUCUCGGGUUAUGAAGUUUCAGGUUUUUGGUCUUUUGGAUGUUAUCGAUUGACGAAAGGAGGCAGCAAUGAUAAAUCGUGAUGUAGCUGUAAGAAAUGAAGGUUAUCGUGUGGCGAGUUAUGGGCAGCAACAAUAUUUCUCCGAUUAUUAGUUUUACAUAGUUCGAAAGUCUGCUGAGUUGUGGUUGUUUAGAGUUCAUAUGUAGUAGAUUAUAUCGGUUUCAGUUUAUUUUUAAGCGUUGUUUUAGUAAGUCGUUUUGGUGUAGGUUUUUGUGACCGUCUCUUAUGGGCUUUCGGUUCUGUUUCAGUAACUUGUUUUGAUGUGGGUUUUAGUGAUCGCCUUUUUUGAAUUCUUGGUUUUGGGGCUAUUUUGUUUUAUC
Molecule: long non-coding RNA, 628 nt
Filed under: Brassica rapa (field mustard)
Lineage: Eukaryota; Viridiplantae; Streptophyta; Magnoliopsida; Brassicales; Brassicaceae
Description: long non-coding RNA (BRAP_LNC004672)
Source: RNAcentral